RNAcentral lists this long non-coding RNA (8616 nucleotides) under Trifolium pratense (red clover). Its description in RNAcentral is "long non-coding RNA (TPRA_LNC003826)". Lineage: Eukaryota; Viridiplantae; Streptophyta; Magnoliopsida; Fabales; Fabaceae. The record is from RNAcentral.
CGGGUGGAUUUGUUUGUGACAACAGCAGAUCCUGUUCUUGAACCACCAAUAAUCACAGUGAAUACAGUGUUGUCAUUGUUGGCACUUGAUUAUCCAGCUAAUAAGCUAGCUUGUUAUGUUUCUGAUGAUGGUUGUUCUGUUUUUACCUUCUAUGGUCUUUUGGAAGCUUCCAAAUUUGCAAAGUUUUGGGUACCUUUCUGUAAAAAGUAUAAUAUUCAAGUUAGAGCACCUUUUAGAUAUUUUACUGAAGUUACCAAAAGUGAAGAUUCACCAGAAUUCAAACAAGAAUGGUUACAAAUGAAGGUAAGUAAACAAAUAUUACUCUGAAAUGAUUAGUACACUAUUUAGCAUCGGCACUUCAAAUUGAACAUGUGUCAAAUCUCUGAUACUACACGACACUGACACAUGUGAUUAGAUUUAAUCAAUUUCAUUUUCUCAAAUUAAUACUGAUUCUUAUGUGUCAUUGUUAAGUGUCAUGUUUAGUGUCCGUGUUUCAUAAUUGAUACAUGUUAAUGAUCUUAUGAGAUAAGUAUCUAUGUAUCUAGCUUUGAACAUGAACUGUUUGAUGAAUUGUCUCUUUGAGUUUUUUGCAGGAUAUGUAUGACAAUCUUAGCCAAAAAAUUGAAGAUGUGACCAGAAAUCCAAUUUCAUUCCAAUUUGAGGGAGAAUUUGCAGUUUUCUUGAAUACUGAAAAAAGAAAUCAUCCCAGUAUAGUUAAGGUAAUAAAUAGAGCCAUAAUUACCUCAUUCCUAGGCGACGUAGGACUAAGUACUUAUGCUUGAAUUCUAAACAAAUCGUAAAAGACUUACAUUACAUGUUGCAGGUUAUAUUGGAGAACAAGGACGGUCUAUCUGAUACAUCGCCUCACUUAAUAUACGUAUCAAGAGAGAAGAGGCCAAAGUAUGAACACAAUUACAAAGCCGGAGCUAUGAAUGUGUUGGUAAUUUCACUGAUUAAUAUUUAGUACUGCAAAAUACUAGUUCUCAUUUUCGGGGAUCUGUUCUCAUUUUUCUUAAUUGAAAUUUGCAGACAAGAGUUUCUGGGUUGAUGACAAAUGCUCCCUUUAUGUUGAAUGUUGACUGUGAUAUGGUUGUGAACAAUCCCAAGAUUGUUCAACAUGCUUUGUGCAUUUUGAUGGAUUCUAAGAAUGGAAAAGAUGUUGCUUUUGUUCAAUGUUUCCAACAAUUUUACGAUGGAAUAAAAGAUGACCCUUUUGGAAAUCAAUGGGUGGCUGGAUUUGAGGUUUCUUCUCAACUUCAAAUGCAUCUAUCACUUCACUCUUAUAGAUUUUUGUGUUAUAAAACAAGUUUUGUUUUGUUUUAAUGCAGUAUAUAAUAAGGGGCAUGGGAGGACUUCAAGGACCUUUCUAUGGAGGAACAAAUACCUUCCAUAGAAGAAAGGCUAUUUAUGGUCUUUAUCCUGAUGAACUUCAAUAUGGAAGAAAAGGUCACUUAUUCAUUGUGCUAUCUUCAUUUAAUUGUUUCAUUUAGCCUCCUAAAUAAGCAGUUAAUUACAAUAUGUUGGAGUGAUUAUAUAUAAAGGUAGUAUCACAAUUAAUAGUUGAUUCCUAUAUGAUAAUCAAAAACUCGCUUAUUAUUUUGUAUCUUCAAUAGGAAAACUAGCAGAAAAGAUAUUAAUACAGCAAUUUGGAAGUUCAAAUGAGUUUGUCAAAUCAGUCACACAUGCAAUGGAAGGGAGUGAUUAUUCUACUAAUGGUAUUAGUCCUUCCAAUUUUAUUGAGGAAGCGAUCCGAAUAUCUGAUUGUGGAUAUGAAUAUGGCACUGAUUGGGGUAAAAAGGUAAGCUAGAUAAGCAAAUCAAUUUUGUUAAUGAGAAAAGGGGACAUGCCCUGAUAGUGUAAGCUAGUUUUACGAUCACGACUAAUGAGAAUCCAACACUUUGUAGUUAUUUUUAAAUUAUGGUUACAAAGUGAGCUAUCUCAUGAACUCUCAUUCGAUGUUGAUCUAAAAUUAUUUUAUAUUGACGGUGCAUCUCCAAUAAACUCUUUGUUAAUUAGUUUUUGUGGAUUGUGGAAACUUUAGAUGUGCUGGUUAUAUGGAUCAAUAUCAGAGGAUGUACCAACUGGUUUGAAUAUGCAAAAAAAAGGUUGGAGAUCAGAGUGUUGUACACCGGAUCAAACCGCUUUUACGGGCUGCGCUCCCGGAGGAUUUCUCACUACAAUGAUCCAACAAAAGAGAUGGUCUUCAGGUCUCACUGUUGUCUUCUUUAGCAAGCAUUCUCCUGUUAUGGGCAUACUCUUUGGUAAAAUUCAAUUCAGGGCAGGCUUGUCUUAUUGUUGGCUUACCAAUUGGGGAUUGCGUUCUGUCUUUGAAGUUUCUUAUGCAGCCUUGGUUGCAUAUUGCAUAAUCUCCAACACCAGUAUCUUUCCUAAGGUUAGAUCUUUACGUUCAAUUUCUAGUAGCAAGUUAAAUUAAAUAUUGAGGGGUUUUUGGAAUAGUUUAUUUAAGCUUAUUUACUGGCAUACGAGAUUCCUUGUUAGAGAUUACGAAAACAUCUUAUAGCUUAUAUGAAAAAAGUUUGACUUUAUUUUAACUUUUUUAUAUAAAUAAUUUAUGCAUAAGUACUUAUGUGGUAAGCAUUAUGCUAUAACCAAUUAAUUAAGUUAUUUAUCCAAACAGGUUCUUACUUUAAUGACUAGAUGCAAUGAGUAUAAAAAAAUUAUGCAUACAUUUAAUAACAAGUCAUCAUAUAUCUCUGAAGAUGCUUUAGAAAAUAAUAUAACAAAGUGUCAUAUCUUGAGAUUAUUGGGUGCAUUUUGUCUAAUUCCAGGGACCUGGGCUAUGGAUUCCUUUGACUCUUUAUGUGAUCUAUACUAUACAUACUCUACAAGAGUAUCUAUCAAAAGGGUUGUCAUUAAGAUAUUGGUGGAACAAUCAGAGAAUGAUUACAAUAAGAUCAACAAGUGUAUGGUUUAUUGGAUUUUUAAGUGCCAUGGUUAAGCUCUUAGGGAUAUCUGAUACAGUCUUUGAAGUAACACAAAAGGAAAAUCCAACUUCUGGUGCUGCUGCUGGAGAUGAUGCAAAUGCUGGUAGGUUCACAUUUGAUGAGUCCCCAAAUUUUGUGAUUGGCACAACCAUUUUGCUUGUGCAAUUGACAGCACUUGUUGUUAAGAUUUUGGGGGUGCAAUUAGAAGCUCACAAUGGAAAUGGUUGUGGAAUAGGUGAAUUGAUGUGUAGUGCUUAUCUAGUAGUAUGUUACUGGCCAUUUCUGAAAGGGUUGUUUGCUAGGGGUAAAUAUGGGAUUCCAUUGUCUACCAUUUUCAAGUCAGCACUGCUUGCUUUUAUUUUUGUGCGCUUUUGUAGAAUUGUUUGAUGGGGGCUAUAGUGGAAUUUAUAUGAGAUAUAUUUUUAUAGGAGAAAAUUCUCACUUGAGAUGUAAGGGUGAGAUUUGAUUGGUGGAUCAGAUUUUUAUUUUUGUAAGAGAUAUUGAUCAUGUCUAAAAGUUAUGGUGAUAAAUUUUGUAAAAAAAAUGUAUGAUAAUAAAUAGUUAUGUGUGAACAAUACUGCGAGCUUUCAAAUAAUUGUGUUUAAAUUAUGAACGUCGAUGUGAUAAAUACAAAACUACUCUUAUAAAUUCAUAGUUGUACCCUAUAAUAUUUCACAUUACGUUUACACUAUGCUCAUGAACAUGAUAGGGACUAUCUUUUCUUUUCUUUUUUUGACACACGACUAUCUUUUUUUAAGAACUCAAAGAGUACAUUAAAAAAACUAAAUUAAGUUGAAGGUGUGCAUAAAAGAAAAAGAAACAAUAUUUAGGUAUGGUUUGGCUCACUAUUUUAAUAGCUUUAAAACUAAAAUUAAAGUUGUUUGGUAAAUCUUGCUGUUUUAUUAAAAAAAGAUUAAAUUUUUAUUAUUAUUAUAGGGUUAAAUGAUAUGUUUGAUAAUAUAUUAUAAUUUUUUUAAAAAUAUAGAAGCUAUUUUUUUUCUCUUAAUAAAUCUUUUAAAAGUUAUUGUUUGGCCUAACUUCUUACUUCUAAGGAAAAAGAAGAGGAAAAGAAGAUAGAUCAAAUAGUACAUUAGAAUCACACUACGUAGUCCCCACGAGCUUAAAUCAAUUAGUAAGGAAUAUCGCGUUUUAUAUACAAGAGAUGAGGUUCGAACCCCGACACCUCACUUAUCCAUUAAGGGGGAAAUUUCUGACCACUAUACAAGCUAUAAAAAAAAUCAGACUAUGUAAGCCGAAUGAUGAUUGAGAAACUACGUAAGCCAAGUUGGAUGAUAUGAUUCAAAAUAAUUUGCCCAAUCUCAUAAACACCACUAAAUUCAACAACAGUCAACAGACACAAUCUUGGAUGCAACUUGUACGUGGAAAAUAUAUAUUACUUCCAAUUUAGUAUGUUAGUCAAUGUCAACAUCUCAUCUCAGCUCAUAUAUAUUUUAUAAAUUUUGCUAUUAAUAUCUCUAAUGGGGUACUUUUUUAGCCUCACAUUCACAUUAAUAGGAAAAUAAUUUGCCCAAUCUUGGAUGCAACUUGUACGUGGAAUUGUGGAAAAUAUAUAUUACUUCCAAUUUAUGUUAGUCAAUGUCAACAUCUCAUCUCAGCUCAUAUAUAUUUUAUAAAUUUUGCUAUUAAUAUCUCUGGUGGGGGUACUUUUUUAGCCUCACAUUCACAUUAAUAGGAAAAAAAAAUCUAAGGUUGGUCCUGUUAGAAUAAUAGGUCCAAUACAGAAACAGUUCAUCGAGUCGGUAAAAGGACAUGUCAUUUGUUUAUUUUUAGGCUUAAAUACAGUUUUAUCUCCUAUUUUGAAAAAAUCGAAAUUUUAUCCCUCUUAUUUUAAAAUCUGAAAUUUUACCUCCCUAUUUUAUAAUUUUUUGGAUUUUGCCCCCACCAAAAUUCUGCACAAAAUUUAUUUAUGAGCUUCAAGUUCAAAGCUUCGCACAAAACUCAAUUUAGAUUAAUAAUUCACCAAACUGAUACCGAGAUGACCGCAAUCGAGUUAGUUUUUCACAGAAUCAAACUCUACUAAAUUUGGAGUUACAAUGAAAGAUUAAUUACUGUUUUAGUGAAUGUCUGUCCAAAUUAAUUAUCGUAUGGAACUACUACUGGUAUUUUCGUCAUGUCUCUUACCCUGUAGCUCAUUUUUUAAUAGUAUUUACAUUUCUGGAAAUUUAACGAAAUUACCCUUGUUGACAUUUCAAUUUCGUCGAAUUUGGAGUUACGAUGCCUUCGGUAGACGAUGUUGAUUUUGAAGGUCAAAAGUAGAUUUCUGCAGAAUUAGUAAUUGGACAGACAUUCACUAAAACGGUAAUUAAUCUCUCUCUGUAACUCCAAAUUUAGUAAGGUUUGAUUCUGUGUAAAGCUAACUCGAUUACGGUCAUUUCGGUAUCAGUUUGGUGAAUUAUUGAUUCAAAUUGAGUUAUGUGAGAAGUUUUGAAGUUGAGACUCAAACAGAUUUUGUGCAGGAUUUGAGGGGCCAAAAUCCAAAAAAAAUUAAAAUUGGGGGGUCAAAUUCCGGAUUUUAAAAUAGGAGGUAAAAUUCCAAUUUUUUCAAAAUAGGAGGGUAAAACUGCAUUUAAGCUUUAUUUUUAUUAUAGUUUGACUACUCUCUCAAUGAAGGUUUUAACUUUUAAUUGGCGGGUCACGGUUAAAAUCGCGUUAAAGAUUUUGCAAUUUCGAUUGUUACUAGGGCAGGCAAUGAUCCGACCUAAUUUACGAAUAGUUCGAACUCGAUUCAAUAAUUGACUCAUUGAACUUGGUUUAUGAACCAUUUUUCCGCGGUUGUUUUUGAGGUAAAAAACCCCUUUUUUGUCAUGAAUAUCAAGACCUAACUCAUCCUUACAAAACCGGCUUGUAAGGUGAGGACUGUCUCUUCUUUAUAAACUCUUCUCAAGAAUCCUAUCUAUCCGAUGUGGGACUAAAUUCUCACCGAGUGUUCCCUCUCACGCAAAUAAACUACUUUGGAAUCCUAUAUAUGGUUAAAAAGGACGUGAUUUUUUAUUAUAGGUUGACUACGUACCUCUCAAAUAAACUACUUUUAAGAAAACUGGAAUAUGAUUUUUCUCAGAUAGAGUGAUGUUGUCAAUUCUAUCAACAUCAUAUUGUGCAAAACUUGCGAACAAAUGAAAGGUGCCAAAUAAAACUCAGACACAACUUUGUGAUUUGGUGUUCAAAUCAUGUGAAAAUAUCCAACUUAUAAUAAGGGAAAUGCUAACCAAUAUCUCAAGUUUCAUAUCUUGUUUGCUACUUGACUCCUUGCAUUGCAUCAACCUUAUCAAAGGUUCCAUUUUUAAGUUUCAUAUCCAUGUUGUUUUGAUUCAAGACAUAAAGGAGUUAUUCUCUCACAACAAUGUUACUUUUUGUCACACUUUAAGAGAGGGAAACCAAUGCUCUGACUUUUUAGCAAAGCCGGGAGCUUGUUUGGAUGCUGAUUUAGUAAUUCACAGUUCUCCUCCGACAAGCAUGCUUGAUCUUCUCAGGAGUGACACAACUGAGAUUAUCUUUUAAAUGUAGUAUAUUCAAUACCUUUAAAUUUUAAAAUAGAAUUUUUUUUCUAUUUAAAACUUUAUUUUUAUUUUCAUCUUUGUUUUCUUAACUAUUGCUUCAGACACGGUUAUAGUUUUAUAACAAUAUCGACAUUAGGUAUCAGGACUAUUGAGCAAAAUUAUAAAUUGAAUCCAAUUAAAAUAUAGGCGUAAUUAGUCAUUUGGUCCCUUAAAGAUAUUUUAGGUUUCACAAUGGUCCCUUAAAGAAAAAAGGUCAGGAUUGGUCCCUUAAAGACACAUUUGUUUCUCAAUUGGUCCUUUCCGUCAAUUUUUUUACAAAAAACGUUAGUUUUAGUAGACUGAAUUGUGGAUGUCAUUAAGUGUAAGUGGUCUACCAAAAACCUUAUUAAUUUUUAAAAUUUUAACCAUUGGAAUUUUUGUUAUAUUUGGAGUUAAAAUUUAACGGAAAUGACCAAUAUGACAAAAAUAUAUGUCUUUAAGGGACCAAUCCAGACCUUUUUUUUCUUUAAGGGACCAAUCCGAACAUUUUUUUUCUUUAAGGGACCAUUGUAAAACCUAAAAUGUUUUUAAAGGACCAAUAAACUAAUUAAGCCUAAAAUAUACUAUAGUCAAUCCCUCACAAGUAGAUCUGAAAUCUAAAGAUUGAUGGAAUAAAUAAUUAAUCAGCCGUCCAAAGAAUCUCAAAUAUAAUAAACUUGCUAUUAUUGUGAUUUCUAUCUCUAUAAGCUGACUUAGAGCAUCCACAAUAGAGAUACUCAUUUUAUCUCACGGGUACACAUCACUCAUUUAUAAUUUUUUAAUAAUAGUACCUAAUAAGUAUUUAAUCCCUCCAACUCUACAUCUCUUUGAAAGUUCCAAAUUGGCCCUACAAUAACACAUCUCACCUAUAACUAUACAUCUUUAUAAAUAGGAUCCACAAAAAUAAAAUAGGUACUAAUGCUUAUUGUAGAAUCAGUAGCUAUUAAAUACUCAAAUGAGUAUUGCUCCAAUGGUAUUACCUAAUAGGUACUACACCAUUGGAGAUAGUCUUAGUGGUCAAUACUUUAUCAUUUCAUUUUUGGCUGACUCCUCUUCAUAUUCUAUUGAUCAUAAGCAUCCAGAAGCGCGACACCAGUAGAAAGAGUUAAGCUACUAAGCUAAGUGUUGUGGUAUGGCUAUGGCAAACCAAGAAAAUCUCCCUCUUUAUGAAAAAGUAUGGCUCAAACGCACAUUUCAGAGAGCUAUAGACAUCUUGAUUUUACUUCUCUUAUUCUCUCUUCUUAGUUACCGUCUUUUCUCCAUCAAUAACACCUUCUUCACACUUCCAUGGUUUCUUGCUUUCUCAUGUGAAUCUUGGUUUACUUUCACUUGGAUUAUUCUUCUUAAUGCCAAAUGGAGUCCUGCUGUCACCAAAACAUACCCAAACCGUCUCCUCCAACAGUAUGUAAUCACAAUCCAUCAUUUUCUCCAUAACUUCCUGGUCAACCGCAUUUUUGUUUGACUUUUUUUAAAACUGUUUUCCAAAAAAAAUAAUUCUCGAAAACCAUUAUGGUUUGCGAAAAUUCUUGUAGUGCAAGCUGAACAUCAAGAUUGAUGUUGCAGUUUAUAUUGCGGUCGUGGUUAAAACAUAUUGUUUAUACAUAGCAAUGAAGUCUUGCACUGAUUUUGUAUUGCUAUUUCAGUACUCUUAUCAGGUUCAAUUCUCUCUGGUGCCAAUUCGAGUGGGUUAAUUUAGCUUCUUCAAAAAAAUAAAAUAAUCAGUAUUCUUAUAUAAAAGUUGACUGAAUUUGAUCGUAUAAAAAUAAUUUCUCAUCCGAAUUAGAAUCUCAAGUCUUGUACUAAUUUUUUGUAUUUUUUAUCCGAAUAGAGUACCUGAGCUACCGCGUGUGGACUUGUUUGUGACAACAGCAGAUCCUGUUCUUGAACCACCAACCAUCACUGUGAACACAGUGUUGUCUCUGUUGGCACUUGAUUAUCCAGUUAAUAAAUUAGCUUGCUAUGUUUCUGAUGAUGGUUGCUCUGUUUUUACCUUUUAUGGUCUUUUGGAAGCAUCCAAAUUUGCUAAGUUUUGGGUACCUUUCUGUAAAAAGUAUAACAUUCAAGUUAGAGCACCUUUUAGAUAUUUUUCUGAAGUUACCAAAAGUGAAGAUUCACAACAAUUCAAACAAGAAUGG